RNAcentral lists this ribosomal RNA (580 nucleotides) under Salmonella enterica subsp. enterica serovar Anatum. RNAcentral's name for it is "partial 23S ribosomal RNA". It matches the Rfam family "Bacterial large subunit ribosomal RNA", at positions 2210 to 2789 of the family's 2925-position model. The record is from RNAcentral. Lineage: Bacteria; Pseudomonadati; Pseudomonadota; Gammaproteobacteria; Enterobacterales; Enterobacteriaceae.
AUGUUUGAUGUUCUAACGUGGACCCGUGAUCCGGGUUGCGGACAGUGUCUGGUGGGUAGUUUGACUGGGGCGGUCUCCUCCUAAAGAGUAACGGAGGAGCACGAAGGUUGGCUAAUCCUGGUCGGACAUCAGGAGGUUAGUGCAAUGGCAUAAGCCAGCUUGACUGCGAGCGUGACGGCGCGAGCAGGUGCGAAAGCAGGUCAUAGUGAUCCGGUGGUUCUGAAUGGAAGGGCCAUCGCUCAACGGAUAAAAGGUACUCCGGGGAUAACAGGCUGAUACCGCCCAAGAGUUCAUAUCGACGGCGGUGUUUGGCACCUCGAUGUCGGCUCAUCACAUCCUGGGGCUGAAGUAGGUCCCAAGGGUAUGGCUGUUCGCCAUUUAAAGUGGUACGCGAGCUGGGUUUAGAACGUCGUGAGACAGUUCGGUCCCUAUCUGCCGUGGGCGCUGGAGAACUGAGGGGGGCUGCUCCUAGUACGAGAGGACCGGAGUGGACGCAUCACUGGUGUUCGGGUUGUCAUGCCAAUGGCACUGCCCGGUAGCUAAAUGCGGAAGAGAUAAGUGCUGAAAGCAUCUAAGCACG